This 236-nucleotide ribosomal RNA is filed under the name uncultured bacterium. RNAcentral's name for it is "partial 16S ribosomal RNA". It matches the Rfam family "Bacterial small subunit ribosomal RNA", at positions 541 to 776 of the family's 1533-position model. The record is from RNAcentral.
UUGUUCGGAAUUACUGGGCGUAAAGGGCCAGUAGGCGGCCAACUAAGUCCGACGUGAAAUCCCAAGGCUUAACCUUGGAACUGCGUCGGAUACUGGAUGGCUUGAAUUCGGGAGAGGGAUGCAGAAUUCCAGGUGUAGCGGUGAAAUGCGUAGAUAUCUGGAGGAAUACCGGUGGCGAAGGCGGCAUCCUGGACCGACAUUGACGCUGAACGGCGAAAGCUAGGGGAGCAAACGGG